UCCCUUUUAUUAUACCAUAUUUCAAAUCAUUCCGCACUCUUGAAUGAAAAAAUGCUCUAAAGUCUCUUCCUUAACCCAUUUUUUUGAUUUUUUUUGAUUUUUUUUGAUUUUUAGGGUAGACUUAUAAGAUAUGAGAAAACAAAUUCAUCCACUUAUUUUAUUUAGUUUUUUUGGGAUUAUGAUGUUCAUUUUAAUCAUCAAUCGCCCACUUAAUGACAGCCAAUCGUUUAAAACAAAAUCCAAUAUAGCACAGGCUUUGAAACACUUAGACAAACCGAUUAUUGACCUCUCUGGCUGGCAGCAUCCUGAGGAAAUCAACUACGAUGCCCUCUCACAAAAUAUUUCAGGUGCUAUUGUUCGUGUUCACAGUGGUGCUCAAACAACAAAAGAAAAUGAUGCUUCAUUUAUCAAUGGAAUAGACAAGGCCUAUAAGAGUCAUAUCACUGAACUUCAAAAGCGGAAUGUCCCAGUUGCUGUCUACGCUUAUGUAGCUGGAAAAAGUGUCCAAGAAAUGGAAAAGGCUGCCGAAGUUUUCUACAAUGCUGCCUCUCCUUACAGCCCUAGUUACUAUUGGCUUGACGUGGAAGACAAAACCAUGUCUAAUAUGAACGAAGGUGUCGAAAACUUUCGAGCAAAACUAGCAUCACUAGGUGCUAAAAACAUCGGCAUCUACGUUGGUGUCUACUUCAUGGAAGAACACAGUAUUGAUACAGGCAAGUUUACCUCUGUUUGGAUUCCGUCCUACGGCUCAGACUCAGGAUUUUUGGAGAGCAGUCCUAAAACUGAUUUAGAUUAUGAUAUUCACCAAUACACAUCUAAAGGAAAAAUUGCCGGCUUUGACCACGAUUUAGAUAUCAACGUUAUCUCUCCCUUAAAAAAUAAAGAAGAAACCUUUCGAAAACUUUUUUUAAAACCUUAAAAGCAUUUGUUUAUCAUUUGCUUUUUCUUUUUGUGUCUGAUUGUGAUACAAUAUAGUAAGGAUUUUUUGAAAUAGAAAUAGUUGGAGGAAAUAUAUGCUCUCAUGGUUAGCACGCGUUAUUAAAGGGAUUGUAAUUGCUCUUGGAUUUAUCCUACCGGGAAUUUCCGGAGGGGUUCUAGCAGCAAUCUUAGGAAUCUAUGAACGAAUGAUUGGCUUUCUGGCCCAUCCCUUUAAAGACUUUAAAGAAAAUGUUUUGUACUUUAUUCCAGUUGCCAUCGGUAUGCUUCUGGGAAUCGGCUUAUUUUCCUACCCGAUUGAAUACCUGCUUGAAAAUUAUCAGGUUUUUGUAUUAUGGAGCUUUGCGGGAGCUAUUAUCGGUACAGUUCCUAGCCUCCUCAAAGAAUCAACUCGAGAAUCUGACCGAGACAAGAUUGAUUUAGCUUGGUUAUGGACAACCUUUAUCAUUUCUGGAUUAGGACUCUAUGCCUUAAAUUUUGUCGUUGGAACCUUAAGCGCCAGCUUUCUUAACUUCGUCCUAGCAGGCGCACUAUUGGCCCUUGGCGUCUUGGUUCCUGGCCUCAGUCCAUCAAAUUUACUUUUGAUUUUGGGACUCUAUGCUCCUAUGUUGACUGGUUUUAAAACUUUUGAUCUCUUGGGAACCUUCUUUCCGAUUGGAAUUGGUGCAGGUGCAACUCUCAUCGUUUUUUCAAAAUUGAUGGAUUAUGCCUUAAACAACUACCACUCACGCGUCUAUCAUUUCAUCAUCGGUAUCGUCCUAUCAAGUACCCUUUUGAUCUUAAUUCCAAAUGCAGGAAACGCUGAAAGUAUCCAAUACACAGGACUUUCACUUGUCGGUUAUGUCAUCAUCGCCUUCUUCUUUGCGCUGGGAAUCUGGCUUGGUAUUUGGAUGAGUCAAUUGGAGGAUAAAUAUAAAUAAUGGCAAAAAAAGUUAAAAUCAAAAAAACAUUGGUGGAACAAAUCCUAUCUAAAGCAGCUAUCCCUCAUCAGGGGAUUCAAAUCAAUGCCCUAGAAGGAGAGCUUCCUCAAGGUUAUGAACGAGAUCAGAUUUUCAAAACCUUGGCGCUUUUGGGAGACAAGACCGGACCGAUUAUCGGAAUUGUCCCUAUCACUCAGCACUUGUCUGAAAAGAAACUAGCUAAAAUUUCUGGCAAUAAAAAAGUGAGCAUGAUUCCACAAAAGGACUUAGAAAAAACAACUGGUUACAUUCAUGGAGCCAAUAAUCCUGUCGGAAUUCGUCAGAAACACAAUUAUCCCAUUUUUAUCGAUAAAAUUGCUCUAGAUUUGGAUCAAAUGAUUGUCUCUGCAGGCGAAGUCGGACACAGCAUUAUCGUCGCGCCACAAGACUUGGCUAGCUUUGUAAAGGCAGACUUUGUAGAUAUUUUGGAGGACAUCAAGUAAUGAAACUCUACUUUGUCCGCCACGGUCGUACCCUCUGGAACCAAGAAGGUCGUUUUCAAGGUGCUAGUGGUGAUUCUCCUCUUCUUCCUGAAUCCAUUGAAACCCUAAAACGACUUGGCCAGUAUCUCAAGGAAAUUCCUUUUGAUCAGAUUUAUUCAAGUGAUUUACCUCGAGCGGUCAAAUCUGCUGAGAUUAUCCAAAGUCAACUCCAUACCCCCUGUUCUUUAGAAAUCGUUCCUAAUCUCCGUGAAUGGCAACUUGGGAAGUUAGAAGGUUUGAAAAUUGCAACCCUGGAAGCUAUUUACCCGCAACAAAUCCAGGCUUUUCGUUCAAAUCUUGCUCAAUUUGACACUCGAAUGUUCGGAGCCGAAUCCCUCUAUAGUACAACUCAGCGGACCAUCCAAUUUAUCAAAUCAUUAAAAGAUAGUCCAGCUGAGCGUAUUCUAAUUGUCGGACACGGCGCCAAUCUUACUGCCAGUCUUCGUACUCUCCUAGGCUAUAAAGAACCACUUCUUCGUAAAGAUGGCGGUCUAGCAAAUGCCAGCCUGACCAUUAUAGAAACCCAUGAUUUUGAAACAUUCACUCUCAAUACUUGGAAUGAUACUUCUUAUCAAUCAUAAUUAUAGCCUAGCCUUCUGAACUAGAACCAUAGGAGAUAUAGUCAGUUGAAACAAAAAUAAGACAAAAGAACCUUGUAAAAAGGUAUUGCAACUUGCCAAUACCUUUUUGAUAUGAACACGUGUCUUCUCAACAGGAUUGUAGAGCAAAAUGAAAUAAGAACUGAAUAAUAUGAUUUGAGAAUUUAAAUCAAUUUAUAAGAAUGUUUUAGAAGCAGUUAUGUACUAUUUCAGAUUCACUUUUCUAUACUAAGAUGAGUAGGGAGGAAAAGGUAAAAGUUUAUGCCCAAACUCUUCACACAAGAGUUCUAGCUUACCCAUUCUAUGGAAUCUUGCAUUAUCCAUUAAAACUUCCAGACUCAUACCCUCCUAAAAUCUAUUCAAACCACGUCAGCUUCACAUUAUAUAUGUUGGUUACCUCACAAGUUUUAUCUGCAACCUCAAAGCUGUUCUUUGAGCAGCCUACAGCUAGCUUCCUAGUUUAAUCUUUGCUUUUCACUGAGUAUCAAGUUAAAAAAUGAGGCUGGUCAAAAAGUCUUUAAAAUUAUAAAACGCAUCAUAUCAGGUGUACAUGAACUACACCCCAAAAGUUAGACAGAAAAAAUCUAACUUUUGGGGUGUUUUUAUUAUGAAAUUGAAUUAUGAUGAUAAAGUUCAGAUCUAUGAACUUAGAAAACAAGGAUAUAGCUUAGAGAAGCUUUCAAAUAAAUUUGGGAUAAACAAUUCUAAUCUUAGGUAUAUGAUUAAAUUGAUUGAUCGUUAAUGUUGGAACAGGCAUUCACAGAGAAGCACUAUGGUGGAGUCCUUCUUUGGGAUUCUGAAAUCGGAAAUGUUUUAUGGCUAUGAGCAAACAUUUAAAUCACUUAAUCAAUUGGAACAAGCUAUUAUAGACUAUAUUGAUUAUUACAACAACAAGAGAAUUAAGNUAUUCUCCUGAAAAUUCACGCGCAGUCUGGGCAACUACGUCUGUUUCUAGCAUGGUACGAAUCUGGCGAAUCGUACUAUAAACAGCCUUGGCAUCGCUUGAGCCAUGAGUCUUGACAACAGGUUGAUAUUCCUGUACUAGAGUAUGUAGUGAUGGAGGGACGCAGUAGGCUAACUAAAGCAGACGAUUGGAAGAGUCUGUCUAAGCAGUGAGGUGUGAAUUGAGUCAAAUGCUUAAUUCUAUAACAUUGAGCUGUGAUGGGGAGCGAAGUUUAGUAGCGAAGUUAGUGACGUCACACUGCCAAGAAAAGCUUCUAGCGUUUAAACAUACUCUACCCGUACCGCAAACCGACACAGGUAGUCGAGGCGAGUAGCCUCAGGUGAGCGAGAGAACUCUCGUUAAGGAACUCGGCAAAAUGACCCCGUAACUUAGGGAGAAGGGGUGCUGACUUUAAGUCAGCCGCAGUGAAUAGGCCCAAGCAACUGUUUAUCAAAAACACAGCUCUCUGCUAAAUCGUAAGAUGAUGUAUAGGGGGUGACGCCUGCCCGGUGCUGGAAGGUUAAGAGGAGUGCUUAGCGUAAGCGAAGGUAUGAAUUGAAGCCCCAGUAAACGGCGGCCGUAACUAUAACGGUCCUAAGGUAGCGAAAUUCCUUGUCGGGUAAGUUCCGACCCGCACGAAAGGCGUAAUGAUUUGGGCACUGUCUCAACGAGAGACUCGGUGAAAUUUUAGUACCUGUGAAGAUGCAGGUUACCCGCGACAGGACGGAAAGACCCCAUGGAGCUUUACUGCAGUUUGAUAUUGAGUGUCUGUACCACAUGUACAGGAUAGGUAGGAGUCUAAGAGAUCGGGACGCCAGUUUCGAAGGAGACGCUGUUGGGAUACUACCCUUGUGUUAUGGCCACUCUAACCCAGAUAGGUGAUCCCUAUCGGAGACAGUGUCUGACGGGCAGUUUGACUGGGGCGGUCGCCUCCUAAAAGGUAACGGAGGCGCCCCAAGGUUCCCUCAGAAUGGUUGGAAAUCAUUCGCAGAGUGUAAAGGUAUAAGGGAGCUUGACUGCGAGAGCUACAACUCGAGCAGGGACGAAAGUCGGGCUUAGUGAUCCGGUGGUUCCGUAUGGAAGGGCCAUCGCUCAACGGAUAAAAGCUACCCUGGGGAUAACAGGCUUAUCUCCCCCAAGAGUUCACAUCGACGGGGAGGUUUGGCACCUCGAUGUCGGCUCGUCGCAUCCUGGGGCUGUAGUCGGUCCCAAGGGUUGGGCUGUUCGCCCAUUAAAGCGGCACGCGAGCUGGGUUCAGAACGUCGUGAGACAGUUCGGUCCCUAUCCGUCGCGGGCGUAGGAAAUUUGAGAGGAUCUGCUCCUAGUACGAGAGGACCAGAGUGGACUUACCGCUGGUGUACCAGUUGUCUUGCCAAAGGCAUCGCUGGGUAGCUAUGUAGGGAAGGGAUAAACGCUGAAAGCAUCUAAGUGUGAAACCCACCUCAAGAUGAGAUUUCCCAUGAUUAUAUAUCAGUAAGAGCCCUGAGAGAUGAUCAGGUAGAUAGGUUAGAAGUGGAAGUGUGGCGACACAUGUAGCGGACUAAUACUAAUAGCUCGAGGACUUAUCCAA
Molecule: ribosomal RNA, 5489 nt
Filed under: Streptococcus pneumoniae
Lineage: Bacteria; Bacillati; Bacillota; Bacilli; Lactobacillales; Streptococcaceae
Description: 23S ribosomal RNA
Rfam family: Bacterial large subunit ribosomal RNA (bases 3830-5488)
Source: RNAcentral